This 465-nucleotide ribosomal RNA is filed under the name uncultured bacterium. Its description in RNAcentral is "partial 16S ribosomal RNA". It matches the Rfam family "Bacterial small subunit ribosomal RNA", at positions 338 to 795 of the family's 1533-position model. The record is from RNAcentral.
CCUACGGGUGGCAGCAGUGGGGAAUAUUGCGCAAUGGGCGAAAGCCUGACGCAGCGACGCCGCGUGAGGGAUGAAGGUCUUCGGAUCGUAAACCUCUGUCAGCAGGGAAGAACGGUCACUGUGCUAAUCAGCAGUGAAUUGACGGUACCUGCAAAGGAAGCACCGGCUAAAUCCGUGCCAGCAGCCGCGGUAAUACGGAGGGUGCGAGCGUUAAUCGGAAUUACUGGGCGUAAAGCGCUCGUAGGCGGGAUGUCAAGUCAAGGGGGAAAUCCCCGGGCUCAACGUGGGAACUGCCGUUGAAACUGGCAAACUGGAGUGUGUGAGAGGAUAGUGGAAUUCCAGGUGUAGGAGUGAAAUCCGUAGAUAUCUGGAGGAACAUCAGUGGCGAAGGCGACUAUCUGGCACAUAACUGACGCUGAGGAGCGAAAGCGUGGGUAGCAAACAGGAUUAGAUACCCCUGUAGUC